RNAcentral lists this ribosomal RNA (872 nucleotides) under uncultured archaeon. RNAcentral's name for it is "bacterial SSU rRNA". It matches the Rfam family "Archaeal small subunit ribosomal RNA", at positions 1 to 879 of the family's 1478-position model. The record is from RNAcentral.
UUCUCUGGUUGAUCCUGCCAGAGGCCACUGCUAUCAGAGUUCGAUUAAGCCAUGCGAGUUGAGAGGUGCAAGACCUCGGCAUACUGCUCAGUAACACGUGGACAACCUAACCUACAGAAGGGGAUAACCCCGGGAAACUGGGGAUAAUACCCUAUAGACUAUGGAUGCUGGAAUGCUCUGUAGCCGAAAGGUCCGCCGCUGUAGGAUGGGUCUGCGGCCGAUUAGGUUGUUGUUGGGGUAACGGCCCAACAAGCCUGUAAUCGGUACGGGUUGUGGGGGCAAGAGCCCGGAGAUGGAUUCUGAGACACGAAUCCAGGCCCUACGGGGCGCAGCAGGCGCGAAAACUUUACAAUGCGGGAAACCGUGAUAAGGGAACUCCGAGUGCCCGUAAACGCGGGCUGUCCAUCUGCUUAAAAAACAGGUGAAGAAAGGGCCGGGCAAGACCGGUGCCAGCCGCCGCGGUAAUACCGGCGGCUCGAGUGGUGGCCACUAUUACUGGGCUUAAAGCGUCCGUAGCUUGGUUGUUAAGUCUCUUGGGAAAUCUGUCGGCUUAACCGACAGGCGUUUAAGGGAUACUGGGCAAUCUAGGGACCGGGAGAGGUGAGAGGUACUUCAGGGGUAGGAGUGAAAUCCUGUAAUCCUUGGGGGACCACCUGUGGCGUAGGCGUCUCACCAGAACGGCUCCGACAGUGAGGGACGAAAGCUGGGGGAGCAAACCGGAUUAGAUACCCGGGUAGUCCCAGCCGUAAACGAUGCGCGUUAGGUGUAUCGGUGACCACGAGUCACCGAGGUGCCGAAGGGAAACCGUGAAACGUGCCGCCUGGGAAGUACGGUCGCAAGGCUGAAACUUAAAGGAAUUGGCGGGGGAGCAC